Molecule: ribosomal RNA, 709 nt
Filed under: uncultured Arthrobacter sp.
Lineage: Bacteria; Bacillati; Actinomycetota; Actinomycetes; Micrococcales; Micrococcaceae
Description: bacterial SSU rRNA
Rfam family: Bacterial small subunit ribosomal RNA
Source: RNAcentral
UGACGGCCUUCGGGUUGUAAACCUCUUUCAGUAGGGAAGAAGCGAAAGUGACGGUACCUGCAGAAGAAGCGCCGGCUAACUACGUGCCAGCAGCCGCGGUAAUACGUAGGGCGCAAGCGUUAUCCGGAAUUAUUGGGCGUAAAGAGCUCGUAGGCGGUUUGUCGCGUCUGCCGUGAAAGUCCGGGGCUCAACUCCGGAUCUGCGGUGGGUACGGGCAGACUAGAGUGAUGUAGGGGAGACUGGAAUUCCUGGUGUAGCGGUGAAAUGCGCAGAUAUCAGGAGGAACACCGAUGGCGAAGGCAGGUCUCUGGGCAUUAACUGACGCUGAGGAGCGAAAGCAUGGGGAGCGAACAGGAUUAGAUACCCUGGUAGUCCAUGCCGUAAACGUUGGGCACUAGGUGUGGGGGACAUUCCACGUUUUCCGCGCCGUAGCUAACGCAUUAAGUGCCCCGCCUGGGGAGUACGGCCGCAAGGCUAAAACUCAAAGGAAUUGACGGGGGCCCGCACAAGCGGCGGAGCAUGCGGAUUAAUUCGAUGCAACGCGAAGAACCUUACCAAGGCUUGACAUGAACCGGUAACGCCUGGAGACAGGUGCCCCGCUUGCGGUCGGUUUACAGGUGGUGCAUGGUUGUCGUCAGCUCGUGUCGUGAGAUGUUGGGUUAAGUCCCGCAACGAGCGCAACCCUCGUUCUAUGUUGCCAGCACGUGAU